CAUCUAAGUACCUGAAGGAAGAGAAAGAAAUUCGAUUCCGUAAGUAGCGGCGAGCGAACGCGGAUUAGCCCAAACCAAUACAGUUUUCUUUAUUGGGGUUGCGGACAUAUCAUAACGAAGAGGUAUCAUAAUUGAAGAGGUUUGGAAAGACCCACCACAGAAGGUAAUAGUCCUGUAUGUUAAACGAGAAGACUUCAGAUAUGAUCCA
This 208-nucleotide ribosomal RNA is filed under the name Clostridioides difficile. Its description in RNAcentral is "partial 23S ribosomal RNA". It matches the Rfam family "Bacterial large subunit ribosomal RNA", at positions 199 to 410 of the family's 2925-position model. The record is from RNAcentral. Lineage: Bacteria; Bacillati; Bacillota; Clostridia; Peptostreptococcales; Peptostreptococcaceae.